Molecule: RNA transcript, 1933 nt
Organism: Orcinus orca (killer whale)
Lineage: Eukaryota; Metazoa; Chordata; Mammalia; Artiodactyla; Delphinidae
Gene: CLYBL
Gene name: citramalyl-CoA lyase
Exons: 9
Source: RefSeq, a predicted model, not a curated record
CGUGGCGACAGGGGCGGGACGAACCGGAGACGGACAUGGCGGGGGCGGGGCCCGCGCGCAGACAAGAUGGCGCUGCGUCUGCUGAGGAGGGCGGCGCGCGGAGCGGCGGCAGCGGCGCUGCCGAGGCUGAAAGCAUCUCUGGCAGCUGAUGUGUCCAGGCUUGGGUACAGUUCCUCACCCAAUCACAAAUACAUUCCGCGAAGGGCCGUGCUCUAUGUUCCUGGAAAUGAUGAAAAGAAGAUUAAGAAGAUUCCCUCUCUGAAUGUGGAUUGUGCAGUACUCGACUGUGAGGAUGGUGUGGCUGUGAACAAAAAGGAUGAAGCUCGAUUGAGAAUAGUAAAAACUCUUGAAGACUUUGAUCUGGGCCCAACUGAAAAGUGUGUACGAAUCAACUCAGUGUCCAGUGGUCUGGCCGAAGAAGACCUGCAGGCCCUCCUGCGGUCCCGGGUCCUUCCUUCCAGCCUGAUGCUCCCGAAGGUAGAAGAUCCUGAAGAAAUCCAGUGGUUUUCAGACAAAUUUUCAUUCUACUUACAAGGCCGAAAACUUGAACAACCUAUGAAUUUAAUCCCUUUUGUGGAAACUGCAAUGGGUUUGCUCAAUUUUAAGGCAGUGUGUGAAGAAGCACUAAAGAACGGGCCUCAAGUGGGUCUUUUUCUAGAUGCAGUCGUUUUUGGAGGAGAAGACUUUCGUGCCAGCAUAGGUGCAACAAGUAGUAAGGAAACCCAAGAUAUUCUCUACGCCCGACAAAAGAUUAUUGUUGUAGCAAAGGCCUUUGGUCUGCAGGCCAUAGACCUGGUGUACAUCGACUUCCAGGAUGGAGAGGGGCUUCUCAAGCAGUCGAGAGAAGGAGCUGCAAUGGGAUUUACUGGUAAGCAGGUGAUACACCCUAACCAAAUUGCAGUGGUCCAGGAGCAGUUUUCUCCUUCCCCUGAAAAACUUAAGUGGGCUGAAGAACUGAUUGCUGCCUUUAAAGAACAUCAACAGUUAGGAAAGGUCAGUCCCUGUGUCCUACUGGAGGCUCAGCAAGUGUUGGCCAACUGACCAGGGAGUAUUACCAGACCAGGGAAAGAUCAAGUGGCACAGAAAGACACUUGCAGAUAAAGGAGAGCAGAAAGGGAGCCUUUACUUUCCGAGGGAGUGUGAUCGACAUGCCAUUACUGAAGCAGGCCCAGAACAUUGUUAGGCUUGCCAUCUCCAUCAAGGAAAAAUGAUCUGCUAAAUGAAGCUCUCAUCAGGUGGGCUGAGCAUAUACAGUGGGUUCCUUAAAGACAAGCCAUAAUACUCAAGGCAACUUGUUAGUAUGCCAGAUGGGAGCCUUUCUUCAUUUACAGUUCAUGUUAAUCACAUUUUUUUUUUUUUUGGUUAUCUCACUGGCCAGUUAUUCCUCUAAAAAUGAACUUUCUUCUUUUUGAUUCCAAGCUUAUGAUUUUAUUGUUCACGAAUGUGUUACAAGUACAGACUUAUGAUUUCACAGGGAGAUAAAAUAGUGGAGAGAGAUGGGCUGCUCCAGGAGAAGUUUGGUCUUUAAUGAAACAGAUCUUUCCCAAAUACGUAUACUCCCUUCACCCUGCUCAUGUUAGAUGUUUCCCACAUUGUGCAUUGUUCACUCGACACCAGAAAUAGUUUUAAGAAAGGCCAACCUUUUAAAAAAUAAUAACUCAAUGAAGCGUUGGUGUUUAUUUCACUAGUAAUCUGAUAAAACAACAGAGAUGGCAUAGAAAAGUUGAUUAAGUACCAUACUGGUUUAUAUAGAUAUCUUCUAAAAAUAAAUCUUCAAAACUGAUUACUUUAACCUCCACCACCCCACCACCCCCAAAAAUGAAAUAUCCCUAUCCUUGAACUGCUAGGUGAUCACUGUGAAAGCCCUCAUCCUGGGUGAAUGCUUUGGGUCAACAGUUACCAGCAAUUAAAAAAUAAAUGUGCAGAAGCACAA